UACAGAGGGUGCAAGCGUUAAUCGGAAUUACUGGGCGUAAAGCGUGCGCAGUCGGUUAUUUAAGUCGGAUGUGAAAUCCCCGGGCUCAACCUGGGAAUUGCAUUCGAUACUGGAUGGCUAGAGUUCGGCAGAGGGAAGUGGAAUUUCAGGUGUAGCGGUGAAAUGCGUAGAUAUCUGAAGGAACAUCAGUGGCGAAAGCGACUUCCUGGACCAGAACUGACGAUCAGGCACGAAAGCGUGGGGAGCAAACGGG
This 253-nucleotide ribosomal RNA is filed under the name uncultured bacterium. RNAcentral describes it as "partial 16S ribosomal RNA". It matches the Rfam family "Bacterial small subunit ribosomal RNA", at positions 524 to 776 of the family's 1533-position model. The record is from RNAcentral.